Molecule: small RNA, 162 nt
Filed under: Streptococcus suis
Lineage: Bacteria; Bacillati; Bacillota; Bacilli; Lactobacillales; Streptococcaceae
Description: partial trans-acting small RNA SsRNA26
Source: RNAcentral
UAAAUGAACUUAAAACAAUGAUAGUUCGGUCCGCACACCUUACAGUGCAACUCCUUGUUAGAGGAGAUGAGAUAUGGGAGGAUUCUAGACAAUUCCCAUAAGUGAGGUGGCACCGUGUCAUUGACGCCCUCGCAGGUUGUUUUUUCCUGCGGGGGCUUUUCC